AUCUCCAUCUUGGCCUUUUGGCUAAGAUCAAGUGUAGUAUCUGUUCUUACCAGUUUAAUGGUACUGUCUUACAUGAUCUGUUUCUCAGACUUCUAGUUUCUUAUAGGAGAGUCUCAGAUAAUGUGUGCUUUAAACGCUCAUUACCAGUAUUCAGAAAAAUACAAGAUUUUUUUUGUUCAAGUGUUCAUGA
This is a non-coding RNA of Mesocricetus auratus (golden hamster), 190 nucleotides long. The record is from Rfam. NCBI's taxonomy places the organism in Eukaryota, Metazoa, Chordata, Mammalia, Rodentia, Cricetidae.